This 253-nucleotide ribosomal RNA is filed under the name uncultured bacterium. RNAcentral describes it as "partial 16S ribosomal RNA". It matches the Rfam family "Bacterial small subunit ribosomal RNA", at positions 524 to 776 of the family's 1533-position model. The record is from RNAcentral.
UACGGGGGGGGCAAGCGUUGUUCGGAAUUACUGGGCGUAAAGGGUUCGUAGGUGGCCAACUUAGUCAGACGUGAAAUCCCUCAGCUUAACUGGGGAACUGCCUUUGAUACUGGCGAUCUCGAGUCCGGGAGAGGUGAGUGGAACUGCGAGUGUAGAGGUGAAAUUCGUAGAUAUUCGCAAGAACACCAGUGGCGAAGGCGGCUCACUGGCCCGGUACUGACGCUCAUGUGCGAAAGCGUGGGGAGCAAACAGG